Molecule: ribosomal RNA, 254 nt
Filed under: uncultured bacterium
Lineage: Bacteria
Description: partial 16S ribosomal RNA
Rfam family: Bacterial small subunit ribosomal RNA
Source: RNAcentral
UACGUAGGCAGCAAGCGUUGUUCGGAAUUACUGGGCGUAAAGAGUGUGUAGGCGGUGCUCCAAGUCUGGUGUGAAAUCUCCCGGCUUAACUGGGAGGGUGCAUUAGAAACUGGAAUGCUAGAGGAUGGGAGAGGUAAGCGGAAUUCCUGGUGUAGCGGUGAAAUGCGCAGAUAUCAGGAGGAACACCGGUGGCGAAGGCGGUGGUCUGGGCCGGUACUGACGCUGGAGGAGCGAAAGCGUGGGGAGCGAACAGG